RNAcentral lists this non-coding RNA (30 nucleotides) under Rattus norvegicus (Norway rat). The record is from RNAcentral. Lineage: Eukaryota; Metazoa; Chordata; Mammalia; Rodentia; Muridae.
UGGACAUGCAAUGUGACAGUUUGCUUCUGA